Molecule: RNA transcript, 1426 nt
Organism: Phalaenopsis equestris
Lineage: Eukaryota; Viridiplantae; Streptophyta; Magnoliopsida; Asparagales; Orchidaceae
Gene name: transmembrane protein 234 homolog
Exons: 4
Source: RefSeq, a predicted model, not a curated record
AUUAAUUGUUCAUUAGCAAAUCCAGCCGAAGAGAGCCCCGGCACAUCGAUUUCUUCUAGUUUAAACCCUACUCCCAAGCGUCAACGCAACAAAUCCAGAAUCUUUCGGAAACCGGUUGCCCUAAUUCCGGCGACGAGUACUUGAUGAUCAGCGACAUCGAGAAGAUGAUCGGGGUUGGCCUGGUAUGGGGUUCCACCAACUCCCUCAUGAGGCGCGGAGCACUGCUCUGGGAACAGAAGCUCCAAUCCGCAACGCCUCCUUCAGCCGAUCGCCGGGGAGUUAUCGGCCAUCUCCUGAAGUGGCUCGAUCUUCUCUUUUUGUGGCAAUACUCCGUACCUUUCCUCGUUAACCUCUCUGCAUCUGCCGCCUUCUUCUACAUCCUCGGCGAUUCUCCCCUCUCCGUAGCAGUUCCCGUCACGAACGCCACCACUUUCGCUGCCACUGCCGUCUCUGCGAUGCUCCUGGGCGAGGAGAUGCGGGUCCGGUAUGCUCUUCUCGGCAUUGCUCUGAUUGUCUUUGGUGUUUGGAUAUGUAUCACGUCGUAGAUUCUGGUAAAGGAGCUCCAGUGGGAUGGCAGAGAGCACAUCGCUAACCUUGAGAUCAGAGAGGUAACGGCUGACCUGAAGUUACGUGAAUGGAUUGUAGAGUUGGAGGUGAUGUUGCAGGCACUGACAUUCAACGGAAAUUGGAGGCGACAAAGACGGAGUUGGUGGUACUUUGGCGUUGCCUGAAGUCAAAUAGUUUGGAUAGUUUCUGUCUAGCGGCCUAUCUAUCAUUCGAGGGCGGUAUUAGUCUCUGAGAAUUUUGUUUGUGAGGGCCCUUCAUCUAGAAUGGCCUCCGCGCUCUCAUGAAUGAACUUCCUGUUGCGCACAAACGUUACCUGAAACUUUUGAGGAUCCUUGACUUCUGCUGGUAUGGUACAUGAUGACAUGUAUUCUUUUAUUGCAUCGAUCCAGCUAGCAGCUGAUUCCGCUUCGAGACUCGUGACUUUUGCUUCCUCAAUCGCAGGUGCUUUUAGGUGAUGAACCAUCUAUUAUAGAUCUCUUCUCAUUUAAAGAGGAGGUCGAUGAGCUAUUUUUCCUCUCAUGCAAUAUGUUCGAUUUCGAAGUGUUUGAGCUUGCUUAUCUCUAAUUUGGCAUUUUUCAGAAAUUUUUGCAGGACAUCAUCUCGCACCUUGAAUAAUAUGUUAUUUGAUUUACUACCAGAUGCGGGUUAGAUAUAACUAGGAGAUGAGUUACUCUGAUUUCGAGUGAGAAUCUCUAUCCAACAACCAAUGCUUCAUAUUAUACUUAAUUGUUAGUUGCGUCGAAGUUGAUCUGGAUUGAAUGACACAAAGUGAAUUCAGAAUGGCUGCAUAAGACGAUGUUUACUCCUUUCCUUAGGUUUCUAAAGGCGUCGUUUAUGUAUCGUGCUUAGAGCUUGUCUC